GUGGCACCAAGACUAGGCUUCCUGUAUGUGAACUUGCUAAACUUGCUAAACUUGCUGGUAGUACCUUCAUUCUGGAGAAGAUAAGGACAAUUCCAGUUCAAUUCCGGCCCCUGUCUGUAAGGAGUUCAUACAUUCUUGCCGUGACUGCGUGGGUUUCCUCUGGGUGCUCUAGUUUCCUCCCACGUUCCAAAGAUGUACGGAUUAGAAAGUUGUGGGCAUGCUAUGUUGGUGCUGGAAGUGUGGCAACACUUGCAGGCUGCCCCCAGAACACUCUAUGCAAAAGGUGCAUUUCACUGUGUGUUUUGAUGUACAUGUGACUAAUAAAGAAAUCUUAUCUUA
Molecule: long non-coding RNA, 339 nt
Organism: Pristis pectinata (smalltooth sawfish)
Lineage: Eukaryota; Metazoa; Chordata; Chondrichthyes; Rhinopristiformes; Pristidae
Exons: 2
Source: RefSeq, a predicted model, not a curated record